CAAGUUUCAAGUGGAAUUGUGAAACAAAUCAGAUUAACAUCAAAAGCGAUGUGUAGGCGCUGUCAACAAUUUAAGCAAAAGGUCAAGAAGGCCGUAACAAUACAACACUUUUAUUGUGAAUAUAUUUGCACAAUUAUCAACACCAUGUUAUAAACAUUUUUAACACUCUGUUAUUUCUCUAUUUUAUACAGUAAAUAGUGUACAAAUGUAUACAAAAAAUGAAUUCAGGCUAUAGUCAAGUUCCACAAAAGAGUAAAUAAAGCACAAUCAGAUAUCAUCGAAUGGGAGGAGGCCUUCACAGCGAUAGAUGAAACUCCAGCUGCCCCCCCCUCCCCCGUUCUGGAUUAAAUACACAUCGACACUUUGAUAAACAGGCAGUAGCACCGGCAGCUCAGCACGAAGGCAAGAUGGAGAGAAAUUGAACCUUUGAAGGCAUGCACAUGGUGACCAUGAUACUGAUUAAAACAGAGAGGUAAGGCAAUUCUGGAUGACACUGAUACUGUGUCCUCUCACAUUCUCUCCAGCAGGCCCUGAUGCUGACUGUGUGGGUGCUAGAAACACAACAAACAAAAAGAUCAUCCCGGGAACUUUGCAGCGUUUUGGACCACUUGUAAUAGAGUGACAACGGAGAGGAAACAAGCAGGAAGCCGAGGAGGAGGGGAAGCAAAACAAA
This is a long non-coding RNA of Hippocampus zosterae (dwarf seahorse), 673 nucleotides long. RefSeq lists it as uncharacterized. NCBI's taxonomy places the organism in Eukaryota, Metazoa, Chordata, Actinopteri, Syngnathiformes, Syngnathidae. The transcript is spliced from 2 exons. The record is from RefSeq and is a predicted model, not a curated record.